GAGUUUGAUCAUGGCUCAGAUUGAACGCUGGCGGCAUGCCUUACACAUGCAAGUCGAGCGGCAGCACGGGUGCUUGCACCUGGUGGCGAGUGGCGAACGGGUGAGUAAUACAUCGGAACAUGUCCUGUAGUGGGGGAUAGCCCGGCGAAAGCCGGAUUAAUACCGCAUACGAUCUGAGGAUGAAAGCGGGGGACCUUCGGGCCUCGCGCUAUAGGGUUGGCCGAUGGCUGAUUAGCUAGUUGGUGGGGUAAAGGCCUACCAAGGCGACGAUCAGUAGCUGGUCUGAGAGGACGACCAGCCACACUGGGACUGAGACACGGCCCAGACUCCUACGGGAGGCAGCAGUGGGGAAUUUUGGACAAUGGGCGAAAGCCUGAUCCAGCAAUGCCGCGUGUGUGAAGAAGGCCUUCGGGUUGUAAAGCACUUUUGUCCGGAAAGAAAUCCUUGGUUCUAAUAUAGCCGGGGGAUGACGGUACCGGAAGAAUAAGCACCGGCUAACUACGUGCCAGCAGCCGCGGUAAUACGUAGGGUGCAAGCGUUAAUCGGAAUUACUGGGCGUAAAGCGCGCGCAGGCGGUUUGCUAAGACCGAUGUGAAAUCCCCGGGCUCAACCUGGGAACUGCAUUGGUGACUGGCAGCUAGAGUAUGGCAGAGGGGGUAGAAUUCCACGUGUAGCAGUGAAAUGCGUAGAGAUGUGGAGGAU
RNAcentral lists this ribosomal RNA (702 nucleotides) under uncultured Burkholderia sp. RNAcentral describes it as "bacterial SSU rRNA". It matches the Rfam family "Bacterial small subunit ribosomal RNA", at positions 9 to 706 of the family's 1533-position model. Lineage: Bacteria; Pseudomonadati; Pseudomonadota; Betaproteobacteria; Burkholderiales; Burkholderiaceae. The record is from RNAcentral.